RNAcentral lists this ribosomal RNA (409 nucleotides) under uncultured Nitrosospira sp. RNAcentral describes it as "bacterial SSU rRNA". It matches the Rfam family "Bacterial small subunit ribosomal RNA", at positions 186 to 575 of the family's 1533-position model. Lineage: Bacteria; Pseudomonadati; Pseudomonadota; Betaproteobacteria; Nitrosomonadales; Nitrosomonadaceae. The record is from RNAcentral.
GGGGGCACGGGGGGAGGAAAGCAGGGGAUCGCAAGACCUUGCGCCGAUGGAUGAGCCGAAGUCGGAUUAGCUAGUUGGUAGGGUAACGGCCUACCAAGGCGACGAUCCGUAGCUGGUCUGAGAGGACGAUCAGCCACACUGGGACUGAGACACGGCCCAGACUCCUACGGGAGGCAGCAGUGGGGAAUAUUGGACAAUGGGCGCAAGCCUGAUCCAGCCAUGCCGCGUGAGUGAAGAAGGCCUUCGGGUUGUAAAGCUCUUUAGUCCGGGAUGAAAACAUUCUUGUGAAAAAUAAGGAUGGCUGACAGUACUGGAAGAAUAAGCACCGGCUAACUACGUGCCAGCAGCCGCGGUAAUACGUAGGGUGCGAGCGUUAAUCGGAAUAUACUGGGCGUAAAGGGUGCGUAGC